This is a long non-coding RNA of Cyprinus carpio (common carp), 672 nucleotides long. RefSeq lists it as uncharacterized. Lineage: Eukaryota; Metazoa; Chordata; Actinopteri; Cypriniformes; Cyprinidae. The record is from RefSeq and is a predicted model, not a curated record. The transcript has 2 exons.
CGCAGAAUAAAACACGAGGAACCAGAAACCUGCAUAUCUCACGAGGAACAAAGAGAACCCACGAGUAUCACUUCAAGAAACGUUCAACAUUCUCAGUAGAUUCUCCCUUGUUUCACAUUACACUAUCAACUGGAACAAGUCAAUUGUACUACCACUUUCAGAUGAUGCAUGGGAUUCUGGAGCUCAGGACACAUCCCUCCACCUUCACACAGGUAACAUCAAGUACCUAGGGAUUCAGAUUUCCCCCAGGCUGUCAGAGCUUUUCCCCCUCAACUAUACUCCACUCCUAAAGAAAAUUGAAGAUGAAUAUAAACGCUGGUCUAAACACCCACUCACACUCAUCGGAAGAAUAGCUGCUGUCAAAAUGAAAACCCUACCCCAAAUAAACUAUUUUUUUUUUCUAUGAUCCCCAUCACUCCUACAGAUAAAUGGUUCAAAACUCUUAAUUCAUUAACAACACAAUUUUAUUGGAAAAACAAAAAACCCAGGAUAUCACACUCAACACUACAAAAUAAAAAAUCACAUGGGGGGCUUGAGGCACCAAACUUCCAUCACUACUUUCUGGCAAAUCAAUUAAAGUACAUAGUUAAAUGGAUCAAUAUACACAAGCAUAAUUACCCUUGGCUAGAACUGGAACAAAACCAAUGCACAAAUAUCUCAGUUGCAGACCUC